CGCUGUGCUGCUCGGCCGCGCUGCGGUACCGACCCGGUCCGGCGACCGGCCCCGCUCCACGGCGGGCAGCCCGAUAGGCACAGGGAGCGAGGACCGGGAGCUGGAUGGCGGUGUGGAGGCCUGAGGCGAAGGCUAAGCCUGCCCCUCCCCGGGCCGCCUUCAGCGAGCUUCGGCGCGGGUCUCCGCGUUGAGAGAAGUGAUGAGUCAGGUUUGCUCGGCUCCAUGCUAAUGCACGGAGAUGGAGGGUGUAAUUAGUAGAGAGGCAGGGCUGUGAUCUGCAGCGCGGGGCGGCCGGGCCACGCACCUCCUCUGUGCUUCAGAGCGUCGCUGAAGUUCUCCUUGUUUCGUGCUCCUCCAGCCCCAACGGUGUAUAUGCAGGGUUUGGUGGGAGCAGAGCCACAGACGUCGGAAGGUGUCUGUGUGUGAAGCACCCCGCGUUAUGUAAUUCUGAUGUUGAAAGAUGACGGUAAGAAGGAUUUGAUUUAGUCAUGGAAACUGAAUAUUGCGGCUCCCCAAAUCUCUAAGAAGUCUUAGGAUGUUGCAUACAGCGUUCUCAAGGUUUCUCCCGUCCAAGUAAUUGUAAAUGGCCCGCUUGAGAGCUGUGAUCUGCUUUAUAUGCUUUCAUCCAUUAGAAUACCUCUUGUCUUUGCAAAACGACACAUUGUGUAAUUUAGGCAACUGGCUGGGCUAAGAAGGGCACAAUGAAGUGAGUAAUUUACAUCUCUUAGGGAGAUUAAUUGAACCCAGCUCUGGUCGUCUUCAAGAACUACUGAGAAGUUUCUCGGCAAACUUCUCCACCCGAAGUAAAAUCACAGCCUCCGCCACCUUGCCCCUUCCAGCAGCUUCUGAAGGAAUCUUCACCUCAAACAGAGCUGUCAGCAGCAGUGAGGGCUGCCACUCACCAGUCAUUUCAAUGCGGAAAGCACUCGAGACACAGCAACAGGCAACAGAACGCAGCGCUCACAGAGAAACAAAUGUAAGAGGUUUUUAUUCCCCAAGCAGUACGGUAGAAAUGGCAUCCUAAUGCUUGCUGGAGUGCAGAUAGUUGCUGUGCCAUGUUUGCAUCCCACAUGCCGCAGCAUGGUACUAUUAGCACUAAAGAGACAGCGGGAAGCCAGACAGGUUAGUUUCCAUCAGCUAAUCUGAACGUAAUGCUAAAAUGUAAGUAAACAACAUGAAUGAUGUAAAUGGCUUUUUAUUUAUUGCUGAGGUCUAUGAUAUUAUCUGAAAUGAGAAGCUUUAAAACAAGCAGUAGAGGAUCAGGGUUAUUAUAGCCACAAGCAGCAGCUGACUCUAUAGCACAAGAUCCAUUGGAGUAAUUUGCUGUGAAAGGGCCUGGUUCAGAACUCAAACCUGUUGGUAAGGACAGGAGCAGGCAAGUUUGAAACACAAGUAAGAUAAUGGUUUUGAUUGGGUUAAUAUUUAACACUGAGUACUGGCAAAAACUCAGAUUUCUUUAAUAGCAUUCAUUUAUUUUAUUUUGACAGUGACAAGUACCCACGACUGGACAUCCUCAGAAACACGGUUGUGUCCUGUUCCUCUCCACUGCAGUUAUUCCCACUCAGAGUGACCACUUCAGAGCUUUAACAAAGCCCAUUACAAACGGGAACAUUUUCCGUUAGCCAAUUCCUGUCCAGUUACUGAAUGGUAAAGGAAAGCAGAAUCCUGAAGUUAUGAGGUAAUUAAGUUACCAGCAGCCUGGCACCUUGACCUGCCCAGAAAUCUUAAGGUGGUGGUGAAUUCUACAAACACAAUCGGUCUUCUCUGCUGAGGUCACCCAAAGAGGCUGCCAGUUAUUGCCAUGCAUGGGAAAGGGGGAGAAUUUUUUUCUUGAUGGCAUGUACCACAGUGGCUUGAGACCAUCACAUCCUUCCAGACAGAUCACUGACCUGCCAAGUCGGAUUUGCUUAAGUGGUUACCGGUUUCAGCAGAAUUUUAUCAUUGGUGAUUGAAAAUUUUGUGAAGUUUUACAACCAAAGAGUAAUACUAAUUAAUAACAGAGGAACACGCUUCCAAAGGAAAGUAGGGUUUUCUCUGCCUUCUUAAGUAUUCGGGUGCAUUCUUGAGAGACAUAUUACAGCCAGGCAUGGGUUCUGUGCUCACUGUAGGAGUAACCGAAUGAGAUGCGAAAGCCAGAGUUCACCUAAUGCUUUAUGCAGCCUUUGAGCUGGUUCAAAUCAAUCAGCUAAGAGAUGUAGCCCAUCAAAACACCAAGCUGUCUUCACCCCUGGUAAUGAGCACCUACACCAUGGUGGGAUGCCAGAUUUGAACUCACUUUGUGGCUGUGAAAUUUCUGCCUGGACUUUCCUAAUGAGCAAGUAGAGAGCGGUACGGUGCAUCUCCACUGCCUUCCAGAAAGCACUGCACCCAACAGCCAUCAGCUGAAAACCAAUCUGUCCACGCAAGCUAAGUCGGAAGAUGCUGCGUAGAUGGGCUGUGUCCUGGAAAAUUCCACCUGGCCGUGGUGUGCAUGCAGAUGCUACUGGAGUGCUCAGUAGGUCCACAUCUGUUCUUCCUGUGAUGCAAACCUGCUGUAGAAGGGCACAGUUCUUUCACUCUCCAUACAUAAGUACAAAAGCUUGAUGCUUCCUGAAAAGGUCGGAUUGAGAAGAUCAGUGCUGUAAAACUGAACUAGUUAUGCAGUGGAUGUGUUUGCAAUUCAAAGACCUCCAGCAGCUCAGAGAGAAAGGAAAGGAUGAGGCAGCUGCCACGCAAUAACUCAGACUGGACUGCUACAAGACUAGAGAUUUCAUAAGAAAUUAAAAGAUCCUCAAAUUUUGUUCAUUAAAAACAAAGCAAAACAAAACAAAACAAAAACCCUUCAGAAGCAGGAGAAGGGGAUAUGUGAGCACCUAACUAGAGACUUACCCACUCUCCCCAUCUGACUGCCACUCUAAAGCCCUGUGCAAGUGUCAGAUGGGUGACUGACAUGCUACAUGCCUUUCAUUUCUUGAGUCUAUGAAUCAUUCAGCAGAGCCAUAUGAAACAUGGAUAGAUAGGAAAAUUGAUAUGGUUUCUCAAAGGUCAGAAAAGCCAGCACAUUACCAGCAUGUCAAACAAGUGACAGUCCUGCAUUCAUUAUCACCAGGCUUGGUGCACCAUUUUAGCAUUGUUUGCACAGGACUUUUAUUGCGUUCUUUGAGGAAGGAAGGGCAGCAGAUAAAGUUUGUGCCCUGACACUACAAAAUGACUUCCCAUCCUCAAAAUUACACACGCAAAUUUGCAAAAUGAGUGUUCAGAUAAUUACAUGAGAAGGCAAGAUGUCAGAGUUUGUGGAAUUCUUCCUCGAGGGUGGGGGCACACACUUUUUCAUUAGCAGCAUUUAAACCCUGACUAGAUAAAGCACUCUUAAAUUAUGUUUAUCGUAUGAAACAAUUACAGCCUGGCCAGGAGAACUGAACUUGCCAACUCAAUAGGCUUUUUAAAUAUCUAAUUUCUUGGACAAAUACGUAAUUCUAAAAAACAUUACAUCACUACCCAACCAAGAAAUCCUUUCUCUCUCUGUUUUUCUGUGGUUUGCACGAUAAUUUGCUAAAUACAUUUCAGCGUGUUGUUUACUUCAGCUCAGCCUUCUGAGACCACACAGGCCAAUGCUGAGACAGUAAAUAGGGAUCAUCUAGAAAAAAAAAAAAAAAAAAACAGGUUAUGCUUCAAGUUGAGUUGGGAAAUAUUCAAGUUCACUUUGGAAGUAUUUUGGGCCAUACAAUUUUGGGGGGGUGAUACACUGGGGAAAUGCAUUAAUUGAAAGAAAAUCCAAAAAGCAUGACACAGGUAGCCUUGUUAGUGGUCUUCCUCCUGAUUCAGGAGAAUUAUAAAUGAUCCCCUGUAACGUAUUCUUGUAGAUGUGAAUCCUGUGAACAAAUGCUGGUGAGUCCAGGAUUUGAGGUCUGCACAACAGCUGCUGACUCAUCAGGAUUUUGUCACUUCCCUGAAGAUGUUGCUGAGUGUUGGCUUUGGAUCUCAGGUGUCCCUCAUUAAGAACUGCCUAUUUUGCCUCAAACCCUCUUGUGGCAGCCAGGCUGCUGAGGAGCCAAGAGUUCAAAAGCUGAAGGGCUAAAAAGAGGGCAAGCAAGAGGGAGCUUUGGUUCAGUUGUGUGCCUGGCCAGCCUUUUUUUUUUUUUUUUUUUUUGCACAGAUGUCUUUGUCUUGCUGGAAAAAAAGUUCUCAAGCAGCAGAACUUGUCUGUUCAUAUUUUGCAAAUGAAACACAUGGUACGGCAUGAUGCCAUGUUAAAGAUGGAGCUGAUCAGUGAAAUUAGCUUCCGUUACUCACUGGCAAUGGUAUGGCUUUCAUUAUUUUCACAACAAAUACAAAACUCAGCAGCCUUUAGGAUAUGGCACAUAAUUAAUGUCCAUUUCCCAUUGAAGCCCCCCAAGAUAUGACUCUAAGUACAUUGGAAGAUGAGGCUGAAUUGUAACACAGUUUUAUUCUUUGUUUCUGGACAAAGAAGGCUGAAGUGAUGAAACAUUUGCAUCUGUUUUAAACUUGGCUUAUUUCAUUUUUAAUUUUUUUUUUUUUUAAUCCCACUGCAUUAUUUUUCUGACGGCUACACCCUGAAAAAACAGGUUGUCAGUGCAAGCAGGGUUUUCUCAGAAGGUACCCACAAGAAGCAAUUAGACGUGUGAGCAAAGGCAGUCAGCACAUGGGAUCCUCCCCAGCGAAACAGGCUCAGCGCUGAAGGCUCGUCUGCAUGGCAUGUUUCUUCUUUCAUCGAACACCAGCAAAAUGCCAGGAACAUUCCUGGACAGGAGAAAUCUUGAAUUCUGCAAUUCAGCCUUAAAGAAACACUCCUCUGGGGAACUGCCCAACUGCCUGAUGGAAAUGAGUGACUCCUGUAUGCAGAUCUGCCUUCGAAGACUCUGACCUAUUUCAGCCCAGCUUUGCAGAACACACAAGCUCUAUUUAUGAUGCUGCAGGAAGGGAAAGGCAGGGUGCAAGCAAUGCACCUUGCUCUGCUGGGAAAGAGCUGGCAGCCCCAGCUCCAGCAGUGAAGCCCCGCAUCAGGAGAUGGUGGGACCUGGCUCCUGUUGGGGCAAUGAGUAACAUCAUCACAUCUGACUGAACCUCUGGCAUGUAGACUUGACUACUUACUCUUGCUGCAGAAGCAUUUAUAUUGACACAGAUUCAGGAAGAUGCUGCACAGCAGAAUCAGGGAAACAACUGUUUUAUAAGCAGAGUGAUGCCUUCAUACAGCACAACAGUGUGAUCUGCGAUGGAAAACAUAACAGGACUGUAUUCCACAGCAAGGUCAUGUUUUGAGAAUUUUAUUCGUCCUCAUUUCUAUUAAAGUGUCUUUUUACAGGGAGAAAUAACUUCUUUUAGUUAUGCUGUAUUGCUCUUGAAACUUAACCUUCCUCUAGCUGGGCUCUAUAAAUCACGGAUUUUCUUAUAAACAGAUUACAGAUCCGCUUACAUCUUUGUAUUAUUUGGCUCCUUCAUUUCAGAAACAGUAUGGGCCAUAUUCUCCCCUGGCAUAGCUCCAUUCCCAGUAUUCUUAUUUUGAGGAUGCUGGGCCAGAUUCCUGAUCUCUCUGCUUUGUCAAUGGGCGCUAAGAGCCAUGCUGCUGCGAUCACUGCUGUCACAUAUCAGUAACACCACUCUGCUGCUGAGCAGAACAUAGCCCUCUGCUUAAACAGCACUUUGAUCAAGUGAAAUAAGGAAAAUAUUGCUGAAUGUAGCCUUCAGCAUAUUACUUGUUCUGCUGAAAGAUCAUCCGCUCUUGGCUUAGCUUAUUUCAAGCAUGACAGUCCAGGAAAAAGAGUGUACCUGUGAGUGAAAUAAGACUCAGUGGGAGUCAAUAAGACCCAAAGUAUUGCGGUAUUCAUAAAUGUAUAUUUGUGCUGAAGCAUGCUAAACCUCAAAGGCUGGAUAUAAAUAUCAAUGUCUAUUGAAUUUCAGGAAGAGAUGGCUGGUGGAAAGCAUGCCCGAUGCCGUUCUGCAAUGUGCAACCCUGUUUACACAGGGGCUAUUCAUAGGCACGUUCCUGCUGCUGGGCAGGGAAUUUGCCUCUUCCCAGCCAGCUCAUGCAAAGCAAAUUCUCCUCUAUAGUUCUCAGGCUGGAAAUUUAGCUUCCCUUGAAGUAAAGCAGCAGUGCUGUGCUUCCAUGCAAGCGAUGGGCCAGCUGAAGGUGCGGGACAAGGAGCUGCCCAAAACCUGCCAAAGGACAAAAGCAGCUUCAUAAAGGCAGAGGUCAAAAUGGCACUGAUGUCUCCUUGUGAUCAAAUGCAGGCUGCACUUCUUUAAUCAGAAAAUGUGCCACAGUUGGAAUCCGGCAAAAUGAAUUCUAAGCACGUCCCUUCUGCAGCCAGUUUUCCUUCUGCCCACUGGGACAGUGGAGAGAUGACACAGUUCAGAAGUAAACCCACAGCACGGAUUUGUGAUUCUGUCAGAUUGGAUUCUCCUUCCCCACUCCUGGACUUGCUCUGGAGGUCUCUAGGCUUUAUGAAGCUGUAAUGGACAAGGAGAGCACUGGGGAAUUAAAGCCCACCUGCCUCCUGCUAUCCCCUUUCAGGGCUUUUUGGACUGGUGCUUCCUGGAGCUAGUGAGAUCCAUUCAUGAAAGGUGCUGAAUGGCAAACACAAAAGUCCAGAAAGAGUAGUUGUCUUAGGAGUUAUCGAGAACAGUGCCUACUACUUGACAAGCUGCAGAGAAAGUAAAGCCAGAAAAUGCCCACAUUGAGAACAAAGCUGAUGUGACGACUGAGUGCCUGAGAAUGGCACCAAUGGGAAGAGCUCAGCACGGC
Molecule: long non-coding RNA, 6742 nt
Filed under: Gallus gallus (chicken)
Lineage: Eukaryota; Metazoa; Chordata; Aves; Galliformes; Phasianidae
Source: RNAcentral